UAUUUUGCCAUGUAUUUACCUGAGUGCUGAUGGUGAUGGCAGGUGGUAAUGGCCAUCCCAGCUACUUCUGCAGCAGAAUCUCACAAAGAGACUCAUGAUGACCAUGGACUGUGGUAUCCAGGGGAAAGCAAAAACAUCAUAGAAUGCUCACUGUUCAGAAGAGGAAAAGGCAGAGGUGUGGCCAAUCCCUACCACAGCCCUCCUCUGAGAUUCUACAAGAAAAUAUGGUUGAAGAAUAGAGAACUGAGACUGAACAAUUAACAGAUGCUUUUAAGAUG
Pogoniulus pusillus (Red-fronted tinkerbird) is the source of this 278-nucleotide long non-coding RNA. RefSeq lists it as uncharacterized. Lineage: Eukaryota; Metazoa; Chordata; Aves; Piciformes; Lybiidae. The transcript has 4 exons. The record is from RefSeq and is a predicted model, not a curated record.